Non-coding RNA from Phrynosoma platyrhinos (Desert horned lizard), 72 nucleotides. The record is from the annotation of a GenBank genome assembly. Lineage: Eukaryota; Metazoa; Chordata; Lepidosauria; Squamata; Phrynosomatidae.
GCCAGAAUGGUUUAGUGGUCUGAGUAUUGGAUUGCAACUCUGAAGACCAGAGUUCAAAUCUCUACUCAGCCA